UACAGAGGGUGCGAGCGUUAAUCGGAAUUACUGGGCGUAAAGCGCACGUAGUCGGCUUGUCAAGUCGGGUGUGAAAUCCCCGGGCUCAACCUGGGAAUGGCGCUUGUGACUGCAAAGCUGGAGUGCGGCAGAGGGGGAUGGAAUUCCGCGUGUAGCAGUGAAAUGCGUAGAUAUGCGGAGGAACACCAAUGGCGAAGGCAAUCCCCUGGGCCUGCACUGACGCUCAUGCACGAAAGCGUAGGGAGCAAACAGGAUUAGAUACCCUUGUAGU
This 271-nucleotide ribosomal RNA is filed under the name uncultured bacterium. RNAcentral's name for it is "partial 16S ribosomal RNA". It matches the Rfam family "Bacterial small subunit ribosomal RNA", at positions 524 to 794 of the family's 1533-position model. The record is from RNAcentral.